AGUGAACGCUGGCGGUAGACCUAACACAUGCAAGUCGAACGGCAGCACAGUAAGAGCUUGCUCUUACGGGUGGCGAGUGGCGGACGGGUGAGGAAUACAUCGGAAUCUACUUUUUCGUGGGGGAUAACGUAGGGAAACUUACGCUAAUACCGCAUACGACCUACGGGUGAAAGCAGGGGAUCUUCGGACCUUUCGCGAUUGAAUGAGCCGAUGUCGGAUUAGCUAGUUGGCGGGGUAAAGGCCCACCAAGGCGACGAUCCGUAGCUGGUCUGAGAGGAUGAUCAGCCACACUGGAACUGAGACACGGUCCAGACUCCUACGGGAGGCAGCAGUGGGGAAUAUUGGACAAUGGGCGCAAGCCUGAUCCAGCCAUGCCGCGUGGGUGAAGAAGGCCUUCGGGUUGUAAAGCCCUUUUGUUGGGAAAGAAAAGCAGCAGGUUAAUACCCCGCUGUUCUGACGGUACCCAAAGAAUAAGCACCGGCUAACUUCGUG
Molecule: ribosomal RNA, 492 nt
Filed under: uncultured bacterium
Lineage: Bacteria
Description: partial 16S ribosomal RNA
Rfam family: Bacterial small subunit ribosomal RNA
Source: RNAcentral